UACGAAGGGGGCUAGCGUUGCUCGGAAUCACUGGGCGUAAAGGGUGCGUAGGCGGGUCUUUAAGUCAGGGGUGAAAUCCUGGAGCUCAACUCCAGAACUGCCUUUGAUACUGAAGAUCUUGAGUUCGGGAGAGGUGAGUGGAACUGCGGGUGUAGAGGUGAAAUUCGUAGAUAUUCGCAAGAACACCAGUGGCGAAGGCGGCUCUCUGGGACGGUACUGACGCUGAGACGCGAAAGCGUGGGGAGCGAACAGG
RNAcentral lists this ribosomal RNA (253 nucleotides) under uncultured bacterium. Its description in RNAcentral is "partial 16S ribosomal RNA". It matches the Rfam family "Bacterial small subunit ribosomal RNA", at positions 524 to 776 of the family's 1533-position model. The record is from RNAcentral.